UUUUAGCCCUAAUAGCAGCGGCAUCCUUUUUCUGGCUUCUUUAGCCAGGAAAAGAUAGAGCGGAUAGCAGGAAUAGCU
This 78-nucleotide small RNA is filed under the name Flavobacterium xinjiangense. RNAcentral's name for it is "Flavo-1 RNA". It matches the Rfam family "Flavo-1 RNA". The record is from RNAcentral. Lineage: Bacteria; Pseudomonadati; Bacteroidota; Flavobacteriia; Flavobacteriales; Flavobacteriaceae.